GGCGUAAAGCGCGUGUAGGCGGUCUGACAAGUUGGAUGUGAAAGCUCCUGGCUUAACUGGGAGAGGUCGUUCAAAACUGUUAGACUUGAGAGUGGUAGAGGGAGGUGGAAUUCCGGGUGUAGUGGUGAAAUGCGUAGAUAUCCGGAGGAACACCAGUGGCGAAAGCGGCCUCCUGGACCAUUUCUGACGCUCAGACGCGAAAGCUAAGGUAGCAAACAGGAUUAGAUACCCUGGUAGUCCACGCCCUAAACGAUGUCAACUGGUUGUUGGGUCUUCACUGACUCAGUAACGAAGCUAACGCGUGAAGUUGACCGCCUGGGGAGUACGGCCGCAAGGUUAAAACUCAAAGGAAUUGACGGGGACCCGCACAAGCGGUGGAUGAUGUGGUUUAAUUCGAUGCAACGCGAAAAACCCUACCUACCUUUGACAUGUACGGAAUCCUGCAGAGACGCAGGAGUGCUCGAAAGAGAGCCGUAACACAGGUGCUGCAUGGCUGUCGUCAGCUCGUGUCGUGAGAUGUUGGGUUAAGUCCCGCAACGAGCGCAACCCUUGCCAUUAGUUGCUACGAAAGGGCACUCUAAUGGGACUGCCGGUGACAAACCGGAGGAAGGUGGGGAUGACGUCAAGUCCUCAUGGCCCUUAUAGGUGGGGCUACACACGUCAUACAAUGGCUGGUACAAAGGGUUGCCAACCCGCGAGGGGGAGCCAAUCCCAUAAAGCCAGUCGUAGUCCGGAUCGCAGUCUGCAACUCGACUGCGUGAAGUCGGAAUC
This 771-nucleotide ribosomal RNA is filed under the name uncultured Pseudomonadota bacterium. Its description in RNAcentral is "bacterial SSU rRNA". It matches the Rfam family "Bacterial small subunit ribosomal RNA", at positions 557 to 1333 of the family's 1533-position model. Lineage: Bacteria; Pseudomonadati; Pseudomonadota. The record is from RNAcentral.